This 253-nucleotide ribosomal RNA is filed under the name uncultured bacterium. Its description in RNAcentral is "partial 16S ribosomal RNA". It matches the Rfam family "Bacterial small subunit ribosomal RNA", at positions 524 to 776 of the family's 1533-position model. The record is from RNAcentral.
GACGAACCGUCCAAACGUUAUUCGGAAUUACUGGGCUUAAAGGGUGCGUAGGCGGGUUGGUAAGUCCGUGGUGAAAUCCCCAAGCUUAACUUGGGAACUGCCGUGGAUACUAUCAAUCUUGAAUAUCGUGGAGGUAAGCGGAAUAUGUCAUGUAGCGGUGAAAUGCUUAGAUAUGACAUAGAACACCAAUUGCGUAGGCAGCUUACUACACGAUCAUUGACGCUGAGGCACGAAAGCGUGGGGAGCAAACAGG